Molecule: ribosomal RNA, 253 nt
Filed under: uncultured bacterium
Lineage: Bacteria
Description: partial 16S ribosomal RNA
Rfam family: Bacterial small subunit ribosomal RNA
Source: RNAcentral
UACGUAGGGUGCGAGCGUUGUCCGGAAUUAUUGGGCGUAAAGAGCUUGUAGGCGGUUUGUCGCGUCUGCUGUGAAAAUCCGGGGCUCAGCCCCGGACUUGCAGUGGGUACGGGCAGACUAGAGUGUGGUAGGGGAGACUGGAAUUCCUGGUGUAGCGGUGAAAUGCGCAGAUAUCAGGAGGAACACCGAUGGCGAAGGCAGGUCUCUGGGCCACUACUGACGCUGAGAAGCGAAAGCAUGGGGAGCGAACAGG